GACGAACGCUGGCGGCGUGCUUAACACAUGCAAGUCGAACGAUGAACCCGGAGCUUGCUCCGGCGGAUUAGUGGCGAACGGGUGAGUAACACGUGAGUAACCUGCCCUUGACUCUGGGAUAACUGCGGGAAACUGUAGCUAAUACCGGAUACGACCCUCGGCGGCAUCGCCAGGGGGUGGGAAGAAUUUCGGUCAAGGAUGGACUCGCGGCCUAUCAGCUAGUUGGUGAGGUAACGGCUCACCAAGGCGACGACGGGUAGCCGGCCUGAGAGGGGGAGCGGCCACACGGUGACUGAGAAACGGGCCAGACUCCUACGGGGGGCAGCAGUUGGGAAUAUUGCACAAUGGGCGCAAGCCUGAUGCAGCAACGCCGCGUGAGGGAUGACGGCCUUCGGGUUGUAAACCUCUUUUAGUAGGGAAGAAGCGAAAGUGACGGUACCUGCGGAAAAAGCACCGGCUAACUACGUGCCAGCCGCCGCGGUAA
RNAcentral lists this ribosomal RNA (484 nucleotides) under uncultured bacterium. RNAcentral's name for it is "partial 16S ribosomal RNA". It matches the Rfam family "Bacterial small subunit ribosomal RNA", at positions 28 to 523 of the family's 1533-position model. The record is from RNAcentral.